AGACGUCUACAUUAGAUACCCGGGUAGUCCUAGCCGUAAACGAUACUCGCUAGGUGUCGGCCACGGUGCGACCGUUGUCGGUGCCGUAGGGAAGCCGUGAAGCGAGCCACCUGGGAAGUACGGCCGCAAGGCUGAAACUUAAAGGAAUUGGCGGGGGAGCACCGCAACGGGAAGAGCGUGCGGUUCAAUUGGAUUCAACGCCGGACAACUCACCAGGAGCGACGGUUACAUGAAGGCCAGGCUGAUGACCUUGCCUGAUUUUCCG
This 265-nucleotide ribosomal RNA is filed under the name uncultured archaeon. Its description in RNAcentral is "partial 16S ribosomal RNA". It matches the Rfam family "Archaeal small subunit ribosomal RNA", at positions 717 to 982 of the family's 1478-position model. The record is from RNAcentral.